UCCUCAGCCAUCAACAAACUCCAACUAUGACAGAUUUCAGACUGAUGACCAUCGGCAUAUCAAAGUUACCGACCGAUACUCAUUCAGAUUUCCACAACUACCGACAUACGAUAGACAUAUUUUAAUUACCAACAUAUAGUCGGCUUAUCAGAAACUGCCAGCGCAGAAGAUACAUAUGGCUAGAACAUGAUUAAUGACGGGUAUAACCAUCCAUCCCA
Molecule: long non-coding RNA, 218 nt
Filed under: Elaeis guineensis (African oil palm)
Lineage: Eukaryota; Viridiplantae; Streptophyta; Magnoliopsida; Arecales; Arecaceae
Description: long non-coding RNA (EGUI_LNC014791)
Source: RNAcentral